UCUGGUUUAACAUAUAUUAAAUGUGAAGGAUUGUAAAUCCUUUUAAAGCUUAUGCUAACUAGGU
RNAcentral lists this transfer RNA (64 nucleotides) under Nippotaenia mogurndae. RNAcentral describes it as "tRNA-Tyr". Lineage: Eukaryota; Metazoa; Platyhelminthes; Cestoda; Nippotaeniidea; Nippotaeniidae. The record is from RNAcentral.